Entelurus aequoreus (snake pipefish) is the source of this 494-nucleotide long non-coding RNA. RefSeq lists it as uncharacterized. The record is from RefSeq and is a predicted model, not a curated record. The transcript is spliced from 3 exons. NCBI's taxonomy places the organism in Eukaryota, Metazoa, Chordata, Actinopteri, Syngnathiformes, Syngnathidae.
CCUUGUCAACUGAUAUGAAAGCUGCUAGCUGAUUGGAGAGCUAGGUUGCGCAGCUAGCGGGUCCAUGACCAUGACUUCCGUUUUGUUUGAUCAGCCGUUUUACUGCCCCAUUUGGAAAUAAUCAAGACGGCAUUGGACCUGAGAGAGCCUCGCCGACUGCAGAGCGCCAGCGGCUCGGAACGCCAUCUGUGGGAGCCCGGAAUCUUCCCCGUUGCCUGGCACCGCCGCACAAAGCACCCCUGCACCCACUCUUCCGGUCCACAGAUCCCAGCAGAAGUCGGAGCAAUCCUUUUCCUCCCGAAACCUCGCCGCGUUUCCCAGGAGCUCAGCCCGGGUGGCGAAUCACCGCCUCCGCGGAAAGACAUGUCGUGGUGACAAUGCUGGUAACGUGAGCCAAGUCGCACGUUGAGUCGACAGACACACAGAGCACUUACAAGCAGAGACACCGUGGAGACAAAAUGGAAGUAUUUUGGCUUAAAAAACUAACGACAAAG